RNAcentral lists this ribosomal RNA (253 nucleotides) under uncultured bacterium. Its description in RNAcentral is "partial 16S ribosomal RNA". It matches the Rfam family "Bacterial small subunit ribosomal RNA", at positions 29 to 253 of the family's 1533-position model. The record is from RNAcentral.
AAUGAACGCUGGCGGCGUGGUUAAGACAUGCAAGUCGAACGGUUUUUAUUGAAGGGCAACCGGAUAUGAAAGCAGUGGCGAACGGGUGUGUAACACGUGAACAAUCUACCUCGAAAUGGGGAAUAGCUCGCCGAAAGGCGAAUUAAUACCGCAUGUGGUGAUUUCUCGCAUGAGAGAUUGACUAAAGUCUGGGAUCUCGCGCAAGCGGGACCUGACGUUUCGAGAGGAGUUCGCGGCCUAUCAGCUAGUUGGC